Molecule: long non-coding RNA, 1756 nt
Organism: Acomys russatus (golden spiny mouse)
Lineage: Eukaryota; Metazoa; Chordata; Mammalia; Rodentia; Muridae
Exons: 3
Source: RefSeq, a predicted model, not a curated record
AAAUGCACAUCGAGCCCACAGAGGGUGAAAGCCUACAAUGGUCUACCUGACGGCCAGCAUGCAGCCUUGAGACUCAGUGAAACACUGUAUAACUUCCCUCCACAAAGAACAUUUCAAUCAAGAAGUAAAAAUAUCAGUCCCAUAAGGGGGAUAGAGUCAGUAGAAAUUAAGAAAUAAAGCAGCAGUAUUUUAUUACAAGCAUAUUAUACUUUGGAAUAAAGGAAAAAAAUUGUAAUUUAAAUUUCCUCAGUGCAUGCCUUCUUUUUCGUUCAAAACACAGAAUUGUAGAAAUGAGGCCUGCACAGUUCAGAUGAAGAAUUAAAUUCUUCAAGUAAAAUAGCAACAUAGAGUGGAAGACACUUAUAUACGCAACAUUGAGCAGAAUCUGACUAAAGGAGGAGAAGAAAAUGUUUAAUCUUUUCACAAAGAGGACUAAAACACUGACACCAAAAAGAGCAUUGGAGAUAAAAUCAUGGUAACAGUUACUGUUCUUAACAAAUAGGAUAUAAUUUUGUGAAAUAAUGAGAUUAUAAUACAAGGAGUUGCUGAUAAAACUGUUACAGCAGAAAAUGGAUAAAUCAUUAAAUAUAAUGAGAUUUAACUAUCACUGGGAGAGAAAUGAUAUGUAAUUAGAAAAAGGAACAGAAUACAAAAAAGAAAGCCAUGUUUCCAUCCAUGGUUCCACAUUCGUAGGAGUCUGGUAAUAAAGAGGAAAUUAUCUGAGCCUGUUAAUAAAUUAUAGACACCAUUUCCAGUAAUUACAGUAACAAUAGUCUCCCCAAAUCCAAGCUUACGUCCUAUCAACCCUUCAUUUUAUUUAACAAACACCUGUAUAACAUCCUGUGCAUAGAAUUACACUAAACAUUUGAUAAAUAUUAACUCAUUUUCGAUGAUUAAGCUUCUGCCGUUCAUCUGGCAAUUAUGAGGUUCACAGAAGACAUGAAAAGGCACAAGACGUUGUCAUCUGUGCCCUUGCAAUGAUUCACAUUUCCUAGGCUUCGUCCUGCCUCAAGAACAUCAGUGAGAUUGAACAAGGCUCACUUACAGGACCCCACUUAACCACAGUUACCUCUUCUAUGACCCUGUUUCUAGACAUUCACACUUUGAGGAGUUAUUCUGUUUCCUGAAUCCUGAGUCUGUCUUCCAAGGUAUUUAUACCUUCAAAUCACUGACGACGACGCCUUUCCAUCGGGGCCGGAAGCUCAGGAAGGUCAUGUCCCUGAUUUAUCCUCUGGCCAUGGUGUCUCCUCUUGGCAUUUAUGAAAAUGCCUGGGUAAGCCCUGUAGUGACCACGUUAUAGAAUCUCUCCCUUCAAAGAUGUCAGUUCAAGGGUUUAUGCUGGGCUGUCUCCAAGCUCUUUGAUGAUUUGAUCCAACACCUCAAAGAAGGAGGCAUUGUAUUAAUCAAGACCAUCAAAUAGCCUAUAUUGCAAUAUAAAAUAUUAUUAGACCACUACUAGAUAUAGAAAAUGGAGAAUAUUUCAGGGAACUUACUUAACUUUCUCACUUAGGCUUAUGAUUAAUAUUAUUGGGUAAGGAAAGCCCCUAUGCAAAAGUAGGCAUGGCUGAGCAUGAACACAAAUACCACAUCAAAUAUCUGCUUUCCAUGGCUUGUAUAAAAUUCUGUCAUCUCUGAACACAAGCCUAGGUCCUCCUCAAGAACAGUCAGUGCCCAGCGGGGCAGUGGUGGUGCAUGCUUUUUAAUCCCAGCACUUGGGAGGCAGAGGCAGGCAGAUCUCUGUGAGUUCAAGGCCAAC